GAUGAACGCUAGCGGCAGGCUUAAUACAUGCAAGUCGAACGGGAGAGAGUUAGCAAUAACUUUCGAGAGUGGCGCACGGGUGCGUAACGCGUAUGCAACCUACCUUUAACAGGGGGAUAGCCCGGAGAAAUUCGGAUUAAUACCCCAUAGUAUUUAUUUAAGGCAUCUUAGAUAGAUUAAAGCUGAGGCGGUUAAAGAUGGGCAUGCGUGCCAUUAGCUAGUUGGUGAGGUAACGGCUCACCAAGGCGACGAUGGCUAGGGGUUCUGAGAGGAUUAUCCCCCACACUGGUACUGAGACACGGACCAGACUCCUACGGGUGGCAG
This 324-nucleotide ribosomal RNA is filed under the name uncultured Bacteroidota bacterium. Its description in RNAcentral is "bacterial SSU rRNA". It matches the Rfam family "Bacterial small subunit ribosomal RNA", at positions 28 to 351 of the family's 1533-position model. The record is from RNAcentral. Lineage: Bacteria; Pseudomonadati; Bacteroidota.